This is a non-coding RNA of Cinara cedri, 682 nucleotides long. NCBI's taxonomy places the organism in Eukaryota, Metazoa, Arthropoda, Insecta, Hemiptera, Aphididae. The record is from the annotation of a GenBank genome assembly.
AUUACUAUUAAUCUUUUAGUUAAUCUUUUUGUUUUGUGAACAUACGGAAAAAUAGAAAUCUUAUACACGGGUGCCGGCCAAAAGUAUUUGCCAAUAUUUUUUGUCAAUUAUGGAGAACACACGGAAUAUAUAAUAACAAUAUUGUUAAUUACUUAAUAAUGACUGGCUCAUCAUCACCAAUGUCUUCCUCGUUGGAAAAUUGUCUAUUCAUAAUAUUAUUUGCAAUGACACUAUUAGGGCGAAAAAUACUGCACCAUUUUCGAACAUGUACUUAAAUUAUAUAAUAAUAAUUUUAAAAAACCUAAACUCGAUGGUUAUGGUUCGAAGCCGAGAAAUACAAAUUAUCAUUAUUAUAUUAGUCCAAACAUCGGAAAACCGACCGGCGCAAUCAAAUAUGUUUACAGUUUCGUCGCAAAAUACUUAUAUUGUGGUCGAAAAACGAAAAUGCGUAGAUCCAUAUCAGAUAAAUCGAAUUUAUUACUAUCAGACUGAAACUCGGUGUACUUUAUACAUAAUUCGAAAAAUUGUAUCCAUAACUAUAUUCUAAUAUCUUUUUGCAGCAAUUAUACAUAUAGGCAGUGUUGAGAAAUAUCUUUGAUACAAGUAUCGAACAUCUUACAUACGUAAUAUCUAGAUACCCGGGUAUGAUAAUGAAGUAUUUUCCCCAUAGAUGGUCGCUACA